UACAGAGGCCUCGAGCGUUAGGCGGAAUCACUGGGCUUAAAGCGUGUGUAGGCGGACUUCUAAGUACCUUGUGAAAUCCCACGGCUCACCCGUGGAACUGCUUGGUAUACUGGUUGUCUUGAGCCUUCUAGGGGCGAGUGGAACAAAUGGUGGAGCGGUGAAAUGCGUAGAUAUCAUGUGGAACGCCAAUGGUGAAAACAACUCGCUGGGGAAGUGCUGACGCUGAGACACGAAAGCCAGGGGAGCGAACGGG
Molecule: ribosomal RNA, 253 nt
Filed under: uncultured bacterium
Lineage: Bacteria
Description: partial 16S ribosomal RNA
Rfam family: Bacterial small subunit ribosomal RNA
Source: RNAcentral